AACCCUACGGGGCGCAGCAGUGAGGAAUAUUGGUCAAUGGGCGGGAGCCUGAACCAGCCAAGCCGCGUGAAGGAAGAAGGCGCCAGGCGUCGUAAACUUCUUCUGUCGGGGAGCAACGAGGCCACGUGUGGCCGAAGUGAGAGUACCCGAAGAAAAAGCAUCGGCUAACUCCGUGCCAGCAGCCGCGGUAAUACGGAGGAUGCGAGCGUUAUCCGGAUUUAUUGGGUUUAAAGGGUGCGUAGGCGGAACAUUAAGUUAGCGGUAAAAUCGAGGGGCUCAACCCCUUUAAGCCGUUGAAACUGGUG
RNAcentral lists this ribosomal RNA (305 nucleotides) under uncultured bacterium. Its description in RNAcentral is "bacterial SSU rRNA". It matches the Rfam family "Bacterial small subunit ribosomal RNA", at positions 335 to 638 of the family's 1533-position model. The record is from RNAcentral.